UACGUAGGGGGCAAGCGUUGUCCGGAAUCAUUGGGCGUAAAGAGCGCGUAGGCGGCCCGAUAAGUCCGCCGUGAAAGUCCAGGGCUCAACCCUGGAAUGCCGGUGGAAACUGUCGGGCUGGAGUCCGGAAGAGGCGAGUGGAAUUCCUGGUGUAGCGGUGAAAUGCGCAGAUAUCAGGAGGAACACCAAUGGCGAAGGCAGCUCGCUGGGACGGUACUGACGCUGAGACGCGAAAGCGUGGGGAGCAAACAGG
This 253-nucleotide ribosomal RNA is filed under the name uncultured bacterium. RNAcentral describes it as "partial 16S ribosomal RNA". It matches the Rfam family "Bacterial small subunit ribosomal RNA", at positions 524 to 776 of the family's 1533-position model. The record is from RNAcentral.